GAGAAAAACAACAGAACUCCUGAAUUUUAAAAGGAUGAUAUAACUAUUUAAAAAAAAAAACAAAAUGCAAUCAUAAGCUCUCUCAUAAUCAUCCACCACUUUAGAUAACUUUGCCCAACUUGAAACUCCUCCUAAUAGCUCAUGUGUAUUGGAAGUGCUUUUCUCUGGUACAAAUAAAUGUGGAAAAUAUAUUUGAAAAUGAUUUCACUACAUUGAUUAAUUGAAACCACAAUAGGAGCUUAUUUUCUUCCAAGGAAAGUCUAAAUACACGCGGAUAAUUACUAAAGAAAUAAAUGAUAAAUUAGAUGGUUAUAUAAU
RNAcentral lists this unclassified non-coding RNA (318 nucleotides) under Hevea brasiliensis (rubber tree). The record is from RNAcentral. Lineage: Eukaryota; Viridiplantae; Streptophyta; Magnoliopsida; Malpighiales; Euphorbiaceae.